Molecule: ribosomal RNA, 435 nt
Filed under: uncultured bacterium
Lineage: Bacteria
Description: partial 16S ribosomal RNA
Rfam family: Bacterial small subunit ribosomal RNA
Source: RNAcentral
GAUGAACGCUGGCGGUAUGCUUAACACAUGCAAGUCGAACGGACUCUUCGGAGUUAGUGGCGGACGGGUGAGUAACGCGUGAGAAUCUGGCUUUGGGUUCGGGACAACCACUGGAAACGGUGGCUAAUACCGGAUGUGCCGAGAGGUAAAAGAGAAAUUGCCUGAAGAUGAGCUCGCGUCUGAUUAGCUAGUUGGUGAGGUAAAGGCUCACCAAGGCAGCGAUCAGUAGCUGGUCUGAGAGGAUGACCUGCCACACUGGGACUGAGACACGGCCCAGACUCCUACGGGAGGCAGCAGUGGGGAAUUUUCCGCAAUGGGCGAAAGCCUGACGGAGCAAUACCGCGUGAGGGAAGAAGGCUCUUGGGUUGUAAACCUCUUUUCUUAGGGAAGAACAAAAUGACGGUACCUAAGGAAUCAGCAUCGGCUAACUCCGUG